RNAcentral lists this ribosomal RNA (446 nucleotides) under uncultured bacterium. RNAcentral describes it as "partial 16S ribosomal RNA". It matches the Rfam family "Bacterial small subunit ribosomal RNA", at positions 331 to 794 of the family's 1533-position model. The record is from RNAcentral.
CCAGACUCCUACGGGAGGCAGCAGUGGGGAAUAUUGCACAAUGGGGGAAACCCUGAUGCAGCGACGCCGCGUGAGUGAAGAAGUAUUUCGGUAUGUAAAGCUCUAUCAGCAGGGAAGAAAAUGACGGCACCUGAUUAAGAAGCCCCGGCUAACUACGUGCCAGCAGCCGCGGUAAUACGUAGGGGGCAAGCGUUAUCCGGAUUCACUGGGUGUAAAGGGAGCGUAGACGGCGACGCAAGUCUGGAGUGAAAGCCCGGGGCCCAACCCCGGGACUGCUCUGGAAACUGUGCGGCUUGAGUGCGGGAGGGGCAGGCGGAAUUCCUAGUGUAGCGGUGAAAUGCGUAGAUAUUAGGAGGAACACCGGCGGCGAAGGCGGCCUGCUGGACCGUAACUGACGUUGAGGCUCGAAAGCGUGGGGAGCAAACAGGAUUAGAUACCCCCGUAGA